CAAUACUCGAAUUCACUCAUGAGUUGGCGGCUAACCUGUAAACGGUGAUGCGAGAAUUACAAAAUGGCGAGGCGAAGCACAUGUUCACACUUCAAUGGAAACUAUGAGUGGCAAACAAGCUGACAAGAUGAGUUAAGGUUUAGUGCUUGUCCAUGGCUGUGAAUAUGUAUCAUUAUGAUGGACUUCAGGGUGAAGCGGUGUGAAGACGAUAAAGUAGUCACACAGAUGCUUCAAGGCGAG
Molecule: long non-coding RNA, 240 nt
Organism: Corticium candelabrum
Lineage: Eukaryota; Metazoa; Porifera; Homoscleromorpha; Homosclerophorida; Plakinidae
Exons: 5
Source: RefSeq, a predicted model, not a curated record